AUGGGGGCCCGCGCCCGGCCCCGCGGACACCACGGACACCAGGGCGCGGGCGGGAUCGGGCCGCCGACCCGGAGCCGAAGUUUAUUUUCCCAACUGUGGCUGAUCCGCGGUCAGGGGAUGGAGGUGGCGGCCGCGGGGACGCGGAAUCCAGCCCCCACCGGGCGGGGCGCGGGCCAGGGCGCGCGGGCGGCGUCUGCGCGCGGGUGGGCGGCCCGGGGAGGGGGUGGGGGGGUCCCGGGGUGGGGGCGACCGGGGGGGCCGCGGCCAGCACGCACCCCGCGCCGCCCCAGGCCCUCCCCGGCCCCAGAGCCCCGCGCUGGGACUCAGUUUCCCCGGCGGCUCCCGCGGGGCGCGGAGGCGUGGACUCACCGGGCGGGGGCGCGGCGCUCGCUGGGGUCGGGCCGGGCCGCGGCUGCCGGGCCCCCGGGUUCCGCUCGGCUCGGCUGGGCGCGCUGCGGGCCGGGCUGGGCUGGGCUGGGCUCCCUCCGCGGGGCGCGCGGAAGAGGAGGGGCCGCCCCGCCCGCCGGCGGCCACGUGGGGGGCGGGCGCGGCCCGGGGCGGGGCCGGGGGGUCCGGGGCUCCCCGGCCCCGCCCGCGCCCUGCGGGUCUGGCUCCUGGCGCGGGGAUGGCGCUGCUGGAGCCGCGGAGCGGGGCGCCCCAGACCUCCCCGUGGCCGCCCGGCCCCGCCCGCGCGCGUGUCCCCCCCCAGCACCCCUGCAGCGAGCUGACGGCCCAGCCACAGGGCUCGGGGCGGGGGGGGGCCCUGCAGACGCGCAUCUGCCCCCCACCACGUCCGAGGACCCCUGUGGGAGACCUUCCCCGCCCCUGCAUGGAGAGCACCGCCUGGCCCCCCCCCUCCAACCCGCGGCCGCCUCCGGGAGCGCCCCCUCCUCUUGCCCUGCCUCAUCAGGCCCGCCAGACUGCUGCACCCUGACGGCGACCCCGACCCGCCCCGCCCGUAGCAGGCUCGGAAACCUGGCUGAGUCGCUAGGGAGAGGCGGCCCCCAGCCCUGGAAGUCCCUUCUGAUAUCUGACCCUCAUUGGAGCUCACAGGGAGCCGAUGGCCCCAGGCCUGCGGGCUGGGGGGGGGGGGUACAGGUGCGUCAGGGGCAGGUGGGGGCAGAGCCCUGA
RNAcentral lists this long non-coding RNA (1131 nucleotides) under Canis lupus familiaris (dog). RNAcentral describes it as "lncRNA (ENSCAFG00040015139.1)". Lineage: Eukaryota; Metazoa; Chordata; Mammalia; Carnivora; Canidae. The record is from RNAcentral.